Xyrichtys novacula (pearly razorfish) is the source of this 9295-nucleotide non-coding RNA. NCBI's taxonomy places the organism in Eukaryota, Metazoa, Chordata, Actinopteri, Labriformes, Labridae. The record is from the annotation of a GenBank genome assembly.
UUAGGUUUUGGGACUAGGGAAAGGUUUAAGGGUUUUGGCGUUAGGGUUAAAAUCACUGUCCAAAACCUUUGUAGGAACUCUUUUCCAACCUUUUGGAGUUAGUUAGACCAAAAAAAAAAGAAAAAUGAAAAAAAAAUAUUUGGGGUGUUCAGGCUUCCUAAAAGUAAUACCCGGGUAUUAGGUUAUGGGGCUAUGGUAAGGUUUAACGUUUUGGCGUUAGGUUUAAAAUCACUGUCCAAAACCUUUGUAGGAACUCUUUAACAACCUUUUGGAUUUAGUUAGACCAAAAAAAAAAGAAAAAUGAAAAAAAAAUAUAUUUGGGGUGUUCAGGCUUCCUAAAAGUAAUACCUGGGUAUUAGGUUAUGGGGCUAUGGUAAGGUUUAAGGUUUUUGGCGUUAGGGUUAAAAUCACUGUCCAAAACCUUUGUAGGAACUCUUUAACAACCUUUUGGAGUUGGUUACACCAAAAAAAAUGUAAAAUGAAAAAAAAAAAUAUUUGGGGUGUUCGGACUUCCUGAAUGUAAUACCCGGGUAUUAGAUUUUGAGGCUAGGGUAAGGUUUAAGUUUUUUGGCAUUAGGGUUAAAAUCACUGUCCAAAACCUUUGUAGGAACUCUUUUCCAACCUUUUGGAGUUGGUUACACCAACAAAAAUGUAAAAUGAAGAAAAAAAUAUUUGGGGUGUUCAGGCUUCCUGAAGGUAAUACCCGGGUAUUAGAUUUCAAGGCUAGGGUAAGGUUUAAGGUUUUUUGUGUUAGGGUUAAAAUCACUGUCCAAAACCUUUGUAGGAACUCUUUUCCAACCUUUUGGAGUUAGUUAGACCAAAAAAAAAAAAAGAAAAAUGAAAAAAAAAUAUUUGGGGUGUUCAGGCUUCCUAAAAGUAAUACCCGGGUAUUAGGUUAUGGGGCUAGGGUAAGGUUUAAGGUUUUUGGCGUUAGGGUUGAAAUCACUGUCCAAAACCUUUGUAGGAACUCUUUUUCAACCUUUUGGAGUUAGUUAGACCAAAAAAAGAAUGAAAAAUGAAAAAAAAAAUAUUUGGGGUUUACGGGCUUCCUGAAUGUAAUACCCGGGUAUUAGAUUUUAAGGCCAGGGUAAGGUUUAAGUUUUUUGGCGUUAGGGUUAAAAUCACUGUCCAAAACCUUUGUAGGAACUCUUUUCCAACCUUUUGGAGUUAGUUAGACCAAAAAAAAAAGAAAAAUGAAAAAAAAAUAUUUGGGGUGUUCAGGCUUCCUAAAAGUAAUACCUGGGUAUUAGGUUAUGGGGCUAUGGUAAGGUUUAAGGUUUUUGGCAUUAGGGUUAAAAUCACUGUCCAAAACCUUUGUAGGAACUCUUUAACAACCUUUUGGAGUUGGUUAGACCAAAAAAAAAAGAAAAAUGAAAAAAAAUAUAUGGGGUGUUCAGGCUUCCUAAAAGUAAUACCCGGGUAUUAGGUUAUGGGGCUAUGGUAAGGUUUAAGGUUUUUGGCGUUAGGGUUAAAAUCACUGUCCAAAACCUUUGUAGGAACUCUUUUCCAACCUUUUGGAGUUAGUUAGACCAAAAAAAAAUGAAAAAUUAAAAAACAAUAUUUGGGGUUUUCGGGGUUCCUGAAUGUAAUACCCGGGUAUUAGAUUUUGAGGCUAGGGUAAGGUUUAAGUUUUUUGGCAUUAGGGUUAAAAUCACUGUCCAAAACCUUUGUAGGAACUCUUUUCCAACCUUUUGGAGUUGGUUACACCAACAAAAAUGUAAAAUGAAAAAAAAAAUAUUUGGGGUUUACGGGCUUCCUGAAUGUAAUACCCAGGUAUUAGAUUUCAAGGCUAGGGUAAGGUUUAAGGUUUUUGGCGUUAGGGUUAAAAUCACUGUCCAAAACCUUUGUAGGAACUCUUUUCCAACCUUUUGGAGUUAGUUAGAUCAAAAAAUAUGAAAAAAGAAAAAAAUAUUAUUGGGGGUUUUCGGGCUCCCUGAAAGUAAUACCCGUGUAUUAGGUUUUGGGACUAGGGAAAGGUUUAAGGGUUUUGGCGUUAGGGUUAAAAUCACUGUCCAAAACCUUUGUAGGAACUCUUUUCAGACCUUUUGGAGUUAGUUAGACCAAAAAAAAAAGAAAAAUGAAAAAAAAAUAUUUGGGGUGUUCAGGCUUCCUAAAAGUAAUACCCGGGUAUUAGGUUAUGGGGCUAUGGUAAGGUUUAACGUUUUGGCGUUAGGUUUAAAAUCACUGUCCAAAACCUUUGUAGGAACUCUUUAACAACCUUUUGGAUUUAGUUAGACCAAAAAAAAAGAAAAAUGAAAAAAAAAUAUAUGGGGUGUUCAGGCUUCCUAAAAGUAAUACCUGGGUAUUAGGUUAUGGGGCUAUGGUAAGGUUUAAGGUUUUUGGCGUUAGGGUUAAAAUCACUGUCCAAAACCUUUGUAGGAACUCUUUUCCAACCUUUUGGAGUUGGUUACACCAAAAAAAAUGUAAAAUGAAAAAAAAAAUAUUUGGGGUGUUCGGACUUCCUGAAUGUAAUACCCGGGUAUUAGAUUUUGAGGCUAGGGUAAGGUUUAAGUUUUUUGGCAUUAGGGUUAAAAUCACUGUCCAAAACCUUUGUAGGAACUCUUUUCCAACCUUUUGGAGUUGGUUACACCAACAAAAAUGUAAAAUGAAGAAAAAAAUAUUUGGGGUGUUCAGGCUUCCUGAAGGUAUUACCCGGGUAUUAGAUUUCAAGGCUAGGGUAAGGUUUAAGGUUUUUUGUGUUAGGGUUAAAAUCACUGUCCAAAACCUUUGUAGGAACUCUUUUCCAACCUUUUGGAGUUAGUUAGACCAAAAAAAAAAAAAAAAAAUGAAAAAAAAAUAUUUGGGGUGUUAAGGCUUCCUAAAAGUAAUACCCGGGUAUUAGGUUAUGGGGCUAGGGUAAGGUUUAAGGUUUUUGGCAUUAGGGUUGAAAUCACUGUCCAAAACCUUUGUAGGAACUCUUUUUCAACCUUUUGGAGUUAGUUAGACCAAAAAAAGAAUGAAAAAUGAAAAAAAAAAUAUUUGGGGUUUACGGGCUUCCUGAAUGUAAUACCCGUGUAUUAGGUUUUGGGACUAGGGAAAGGUUUAAGGGUUUUGGCGUUAGGGUUAAAAUCACUGUCCAAAACCUUUGUAGGAACUCUUUUCCAACCUUUUGGAGUUAGUUAGACCAAAAAAAAAAGAAAAAUGAAAAAAAAAUAUUUGGGGUGUUCAGGCUUCCUAAAAGUAAUACCCGGGUAUUAGGUUAUGGGGCUAUGGUAAGGUUUAACGUUUUGGCGUUAGGUUUAAAAUCACUGUCCAAAACCUUUGUAGGAACUCUUUUCCAACCUUUUGGAUUUAGUUAGACCAAAAAAUAAAGAAAAAUGAAAAAAAAAAUAUAUGGGGUGUUCAGGCUUCCUAAAAGUAAUACCUGGGUAUUAGGUUAUGGGGCUAUGGCAAGGUUUAACGUUUUGGGCGUUAGGGUUAAAAUCACUGUCCAAAACCUUUGUAGGAACUCUUUAACAACCUUUUGGAUUUAGUUAGACCAAAAAAAAAUGAAAAAUUAAAAAAAAUAUAUUUGGGGUGUUCAGGCUUCCUAAAAGUAAUACCCGGGUAUUAGGUUAUGGGGCUAUGGUAAGGUUUAAGGUUUUUGGCGUUAGGGUUAAAAUCACUGUCCAAAACCUUUGUAGGAACUCUUUUUCAACCUUUUGGAGUUAGUUAGACAAAAAAAAAAAUUAAAAAUGAAAAAAAAUAUAUUUGGGGUUUACGGGCUUCCUGAAUGUAAUACCCGGGUAUUAGAUUUUAAGGCCAGGGUAAGGUUUAAGUUUUUUGGCGUUAGGGUUAAAAUCACUGUCCAAAACCUUUGUAGGAACUCUUUUCCAACCUUUUGGAGUUAGUUAGACCAAAAAAUAUGAAAAAAGAAAAAAAUAUUAUUGGGGGUUUUCGGGCUCCCUGAAAGUAAUACCCGUGUAUUAGGUUUUGGGACUAGGGAAAGGUUUAAGGGUUUUGGCGUUAGGGUUAAAAUCACUGUCCAAAACCUUUGUAGGAACUCUUUUCCAACCUUUUGGAGUUAGUUAGACCAAAAAAAAAAGAAAAAUGAAAAAAAAAUAUUUGGGGUGUUCAGGCUUCCUAAAAGUAAUACCUGGGUAUUAGGUUAUGGGGCUAUGGUAAGGUUUAAGGUUUUUGGCGUUAGGGUUAAAAUCACUGUCCAAAACCUUUGUAGGAACUCUUUUCCAACCUUUUGGAGUUGGUUACACCAACAAAAAUGUAAAAUGAAGAAAAAAAUAUUUGGGGUGUUCAGGCUUCCUGAAGGUAAUACCCGGGUAUUAGAUUUCAAGGCUAGGGUAAGGUUUAAGGUUUUUGGCGUUAGGGUAAAAAUCACUGUCCAAAACCUUUGUAGGAACUCUUUUCCAACCUUUUGGAGUUAGUUAGACCAAAAAAUAUGAAAAAAGAAAAAAAUAUUAUUGGGGGUUUUCGGGCUCCCUGAAAGUAAUACCCGUGUAUUAGGUUUUGGGACUAGGGAAAGGUUUAAGGUUUUUGGCGUUAGGGUUAAAAUCACUGUCCAAAACCUUUGUAGGAACUCUUUUCCAACCUUUUGGAGUUAGUUAGACCAAAAAAAAAAGAAAAAUGAAAAAAAAAUAUAUUUGGGGUGUUCAGGCUUCCUAAAAGUAAUACCCGGGUAUUAGGUUAUGGGGCUAUGGUAAGGUUUAACGUUUUGGCGUUAGGUUUAAAAUCACUGUCCAAAACCUUUGUAGGAACUCUUUAACAACCUUUUGGAUUUAGUUAGACCAAAAAAAAAUGAAAAAUUAAAAAAAAUAUAUUUGGGGUGUUCAGGCUUCCUAAAAGUAAUACCCGGGUAUUAGGUUAUGGGGCUAUGGUAAGGUUUAAGGUUUUUGGCGUUAGGGUUAAAAUCACUGUCCAAAACCUUUGUAGGAACACUUUUCCAACCUUUUGGAAUUAGAUAAACCAAAAAAAAAAUGAAAAAUGAAAAAAUAUAUAUUUGGGGUGUUCGGGCUCCCUGAAAGUAAUACCCGUGUAUUAGGUUUUGGGACUAGGGAAAGGUUUAAGGUUUUUGGCGUUAGGGUUAAAAUCACUGUCCAAAACCUUUGUAGGAACUCUUUUCCAACCUUUUGGAGUUAGUUAGACCAAAAAAAAAUGAAAAAUGAAAAAAAAAAUAUUUGGGGUGUUCAGGCUUCCUAAAAGUAAUACCCGGGUAUUAGGUUAUGGGGCUAUGGUAAGGUUUAAGUUUUUUGGCGUUAGGGUUAAAAUCACUGUCCAAAACCUUUGUAGGAACUCUUUUCCAACCUUUUGGAGUUAGUUAGACCAAAAAAUAUGAAAAAAGAAAAAAAUAUUUUUGGGGGUUUUCGGGCUCCCUGAAAGAAAUACCCGGGUAUUAGGUUUUGGGGCUAUGGUAAGGUUUAAGUUUUUUGGCGUUAGGGUUAAAAUCACUGUCCAAAACCUUUGUAGGAACUCUUUUCCAACCUUUUGGAGUUAGACCAAAAAAUAUGAAAAAAGAAAAAAAUAUUAUUGGGGGUUUUCGGGCUCCCUGAAAGUAAUACCCGGGUAUUAGGUUUUGGGGCUAUGGUAAGGUUUAAGUUUUUUGGCAUUAGGGUUAAAAUCACUGUCCAAAACCUUUGUAGGAACUCUUUUCCAACCUUUUUUGAGUUAGUUAGACCAAAAAAAAAUGAAAAAUGAAAAAACAAUAUUUGGGGUUUUCGGGGUUCCUGAAUGUAAUACCCGGGUAUUAGAUUUUAAGGCUAGGGUAAGGUUUAAGUUUUUUGGCAUUAGGGUUUAAAUCACUGUCCAAAACCUUUGUAGGAACUCUUUUCCAACCUUUUGGAGUUGGUUACACCAACAAAAAUGUAAAAUGAAGAAAAAAAUAUUUGGGGUGUUCAGGCUUCCUGAAGGUAAUACCCGGGUAUUAGAUUUUAAGGCUAGGGUAAGGUUUAAGGUUUUUGGCGUUAGGGUUAAAAUCACUGUCCAAAACCUUUGUAGGAACUCUUUUCCAACCUUUUGGAGUUAGUUAGACCAAAAAAAAAAGAAAAAUGAAAAAAAAAUAUUUGGGGUGUUCAGGCUUCCUAAAAGUAAUACCCGGGUAUUAGGUUAUGGGGCUAUGGUAAGGUUUAACGUUUUGGCGUUAGGUUUAAAAUCACUGUCCAAAACCUUUGUAGGAACUCUUUAACAACCUUUUGGAUUUAGUUAGACCAAAAAAAAAAAGAAAAAUGAAAAAAAAAUAUAUGGGGUGUUCAGGCUUCCUAAAAGUAAUACCUGGGUAUUAGGUUAUGGGGCUAUGGUAAGGUUUAAGGUUUUUGGCGUUAGGGUUAAAAUCACUGUCCAAAACCUUUGUAGGAACUCUUUUCCAACCUUUUGGAGUUGGUUACACCAAAAAAAAUUAAAAAUGAAAAAAAAAAAUAUUUGGGGUGUUCGGACUUCCUGAAUGUAAUACCCGGGUAUUAGAUUUUGAGGCUAGGGUAAGGUUUAAGGUUUUUGGUGUUAGGGUUAAAAUCACUGUCCAAAACCUUUGUAGGAACUCUUUUCCAACCUUUUGGAGUUAGUUAGACCAAAAAAUAUGAAAAAAGAAAAAAAUUUUAUUGGGGGUUUUUUGGCUCCCUGAAAGUAAUACCCGUGUAUUAGGUUUUGGGACUAGGGAAAGGUUUAAGGUUUUUGGCGUUAGGGUUAAAAUCACUGUCCAAAACCUUUGUAGGAACUCUUUUCCAACCUUUUGGAGUUAGUUAGACCAAAAAAAAAAAAGAAAAAUGAAAAAAAAAUAUUUGGGGUGUUCAGGCUUCCUAAAAGUAAUACCCGGGUAUUAGGUUAUGGGGCUAGGGUAAGGUUUAAGGUUUUUGGCGUUAGGGUUGAAAUCACUGUCCAAAACCUUUGUAGGAACUCUUGUUCAACCUUUUGGAGUUAGUUAGACCAAAAAAAGAAUGAAAAAUGAAAAAAAAAAUAUUUGGGGUUUACGGGCUUCCUGAAUGUAAUACCCGGGUAUUAGAUUUUAAGGCCAGGGUAAGGUUUAAGUUUUUUGGCGUUAGGGUUAAAAUCACUGUCCAAAACCUUUGUAGGAACUCUUUUCCAACCUUUUGGAGUUAGUUAGACCAAAAAAAAAAAGAAAAAUGAAAAAAAAAUAUUUGGGGUGUUCAGGCUUCCUAAAAGUAAUACCUGGGUAUUAGGUUAUGGGGCUAUGGUAAGGUUUAAGGUUUUUGGCAUUAGGGUUAAAAUCACUGUCCAAAACCUUUGUAGGAACUCUUUAACAACCUUUUGGAGUUGGUUAGACCAAAAAAAAAAAAAAAAAUGAAAAAAAUAUAUUUGGGGUGUUCAGGCUUCCUAAAAGUAAUACCCGGGUAUUAGGUUAUGGGGCUAUGGUAAGGUUUAAGGUUUUUGGCGUUAGGGUUAAAAUCACUGUCCAAAACCUUUGUAGGAACUCUUUUCCAACCUUUUGGAGUUAGUUAGACCAAAAAAAAAUGAAAAAUUAAAAAACAAUAUUUGGGGUUUUCGGGGUUCCUGAAUGUAAUACCCGGGUAUUAGAUUUUGAGGCUAGGGUAAGGUUUAAGUUUUUUGGCAUUAGGGUUAAAAUCACUGUCCAAAACCUUUGUAGGAACUCUUUUCCAACCUUUUGGAGUUGGUUACACCAACAAAAAUGUAAAAUGAAAAAAAAUAUUUGGGGUUUACGGGCUUCCUGAAUGUAAUACCCAGGUAUUAGAUUUUAAGGCUAGGGUAAGGUUUAAGGUUUUUGGCGUUAGGGUUAAAAUCACUGUCCAAAACCUUUGUAGGAACUCUUUUCCAACCUUUUGGAGUUAGUUAGACCAAAAAAUAUGAAAAAAGAAAAAAAUAUUAUUGGGGGUUUUCGGGCUCCCUGAAAGUAAUACCCGUGUAUUAGGUUUUGGGACUAGGGAAAGGUUUAAGGGUUUUGGCGUUAGGGUUAAAAUCACUGUCCAAAACCUUUGUAGGAACUCUUUUCCAACCUUUUGGAGUUAGUUAGACCAAAAAAAAAAAAAAAUGAAAAAAAAAAAUUUGGGGUGUUCAGGCUUCCUAAAAGUAAUACCCGGGUAUUAGGUUAUGGGGCUAUGGUAAGGUUUAACGUUUUGGCGUUAGGUUUAAAAUCACUGUCCAAAACCUUUGUAGGAACUCUUUUCCAACCUUUUGGAGUUAGUUAGACAAAAAAAAAAAAUUAAAAAUGAAAAAAAAUAUAUUUGGGGUGUUCAGGCUUCCUGAAGGUAAUACCCGGGUAUUAGAUUUUAAGGCCAGGGAAAGGUUUAAGGUUUUUGGUGUUAGGGUUAAAAUCACUGUCCAAAACCUUUGUAGGAACUCUUUUCCAACCUUUUGGAGUUAGUUAGACCAAAAAAUAUGAAAAAAGAAAAAAAUAUUAUUUGGGGUGUUCGGGCUCCCUGAAAGUAAUACCCGUGUAUUAGGUUUUGGGACUAGGGAAAGGUUUAAGGGUUUUGGCGUUAGGGUUAAAAUCACUGUCCAAAACCUUUGUAGGAACUCUUUUCCAACCUUUUGGAGUUAGUUAGACCAAAAAAAAAAGAAAAAUGAAAAAAAAAUAUUUGGGGUGUUCAGGCUUCCUAAAAGUAAUACCCGGGUAUUAGGUUAUGGGGCUAUGGUAAGGUUUAACGUUUUGGCGUUAGGUUUAAAAUCACUGUCCAAAACCUUUGUAGGAACUCUUUAACAACCUUUUGGAUUUAGUUAGACCAAAAAAAAAAGAAAAAUGAAAAAAAAAUAUAUUUGGGGUGUUCAGGCUUCCUAAAAGUAAUACCUGGGUAUUAGGUUAUGGGGCUAUGGUAAGGUUUAAGGUUUUUGGCGUUAGGGUUAAAAUCACUGUCCAAAACCUUUGUAGGAACUCUUUUCCAACCUUUUGGAGUUGGUUACACCAAAAAAAAUGUAAAAUGAAAAAAAAAAAUAUUUGGGGUGUUCGGACUUCCUGAAUGUAAUACCCGGGUAUUAGAUUUUGAGGCUAGGGUAAGGUUUAAGGUUUUUGGUGUUAGGGUUAAAAUCACUGUCCAAAACCUUUGUAGGAACUCUUUAACAACCUUUUGGAUUUAGUUAGACCAAAAAAAAAAGAAAAAUUAAAAAAAAUAUAUUUGGGGUGUUCAGGCUUCCUAAAAGUAAUACCCGGGUAUUAGGUUAUGGGGCUAUGGUAAGGUUUAACGUUUUGGCGUUAGGUUUAAAAUCACUGUCCAAAACCUUUGUAGGAACUCUUUUCCAACCUUUUGGAUUUAGUUAGACCAAAAAAUAAAGAAAAAUAAAAAAAAAAAAAUAUAUGGGGUGUUCAGGCUUCCUAAAAGUAAUACCUGGGUAUUAGGUUAUGGGGCUAUGGUAAGGUUUAAGGUUUUGGCGUUAGGGUUAAAAUCACUGUCCAAAACCU